GACGAACGCUGGCGGCGUGCUUAACACAUGCAAGUCGAACGGAAAGGCCUGCUUUCCCUUGUGGAUUGCGGGUACUCGAGUGGCGAACGGGUGAGUAACACGUGAGUGAUCUGCCCCCAACUUGGGUAUAAGCCUGGGAAACUGGGUCUAAUUACCGAUAGGACUGCAGGGUGGUGCAUGUGGUGGAAAACGAUUUUCUAGUGGUUGGGGAUGAGCUCGCGGCCUAUCAGCUUGUUGGUGUGGUAAUGGCCUACCAAGGCGGCGACGGGUAGCCGGCCGGAGAUCGUGGACAGCCACAUUGGGACUGGGAUACGGCCCAGACGCCUACGGGAAGCAGCAGAUGGGAAGAUAGGGGAAUGAGCGGGAGCCUGAAACAGCGACGCAGCGAGGAGGGUGUCGGGCUUCGGGAUCUAAGCUCCUUGCGACCAAGAGAAAGCCACCUGGUUGUAAGGGUGGUGACGGUAGUGGUAGAAAAAGCACCGGCUAACUACGUG
This 494-nucleotide ribosomal RNA is filed under the name uncultured bacterium. RNAcentral describes it as "partial 16S ribosomal RNA". It matches the Rfam family "Bacterial small subunit ribosomal RNA", at positions 28 to 507 of the family's 1533-position model. The record is from RNAcentral.